CUUUACUGUAGCUUGGAAUUGGGUUCGGGCUUUGCUUGCGCAGGAUAGGUGGGAGACUAUGAAGUUGCUCUUGUGGGAGUAAUGGAGUCAACGGUGAGAUACCACUCUGGUGAGGCUAGAAUUCUAACUUGUUCCCGUUAUCCGGCUUUGGGACAAUUUCAGGUGGGCAGUUUGACUGGGGCGGUCGCCUCCUAAAAGGUAACGGAGGCGCGCAAAGGUUUCCUCAGGCUGGUUGGAAAUCAGCCGAAGAGUGUAAAAGCAGAAGGAAGCUUGACUGUGAGACUGACAAGUCAAACAGGGACGAAAGUCGGCUUUAGUGAUCCGACGGCACUGAGUGGAAGGGCCGUCGCUAAACGGAUAAAAGUUA
RNAcentral lists this ribosomal RNA (367 nucleotides) under uncultured organism. RNAcentral describes it as "bacterial LSU rRNA". It matches the Rfam family "Bacterial large subunit ribosomal RNA", at positions 2099 to 2465 of the family's 2925-position model. The record is from RNAcentral.